This 492-nucleotide ribosomal RNA is filed under the name uncultured bacterium. RNAcentral describes it as "partial 16S ribosomal RNA". It matches the Rfam family "Bacterial small subunit ribosomal RNA", at positions 28 to 523 of the family's 1533-position model. The record is from RNAcentral.
GAUGAACGCUAGCGGGAGGCUUAACACAUGCAAGUCGAGGGGUAUAGUAGCAAUACUAGAGACCGGCGCACGGGUGAGUAACGCGUAUGCAACCUGCCCUUUACAGGAGGAUAGCCCGCUGAAAGGCGGAUUAAUACUGCAUAAUAUGGUACAAUCGAAUGGUUGAGCCAUAAAAGCUGAGGCGGUAAAGGAUGGGCAUGCGUGACAUUAGCUGGUUGGCGGGGUAACGGCCCACCAAGGCAACGAUGUCUAGGGGUUCUGAGAGGAAGGUCCCCCACACUGGUACUGAGACACGGACCAGACUCCUACGGGAGGCAGCAGUGAGGAAUAUUGGUCAAUGGGCGCGAGCCUGAACCAGCCAUCCCGCGUGCAGGAAGACGGCCCUAUGGGUUGUAAACUGUUUUUGUGCAGGAAGAACGUACAGAUCGUGAUUUGUAGUGACGGUACUGCAUGAAUAAGCACCGGCUAACUCCGUGCCAGCCGCCGCAGUAA